CAAAGGACUAAUGACACUUCUCUGGGGGGUACCAUUAACUACCUCAUAGCUUUCUGACAUAGAGCUCUCCACCCUCACUUGUAUUGAUUGCACCCAAAAAGAAAAUCCUUUAUCUAGUUAAAAACCCUUCCUCCAACCCCCAUGUUAUCCAGCUUGAUAAGUAGGCCUUCCUUCCACAUCAUAACCCUUCUCUACAUCAAAGAAAACAGCUACCACCACCUCCUUAUUUGCCUGUGCCUUCUGUAUGACUGACUCAAGGCACAGUACAGGAUCCAUCGUUCCCCUGCCUUUCCUGAACCCACUUUGAUCUGGUGACAUUAGUCCUCCACUCUCCAGAAAGUGGCGAAUCGCAUCUCUGUAUGUCUGGCAGACAUAUCAGUGUGGAUGACGGAUCACCACCUCAAGCUGAACCUCGGCAAGACGGAGCUGCUCUUCCUCCCGGGGAAGGACUGCCUGUUCCAUGAUCUCGCCAUCACGGUUGACAACUGCAUUGUGUCCUCCUCCCAGAGUGCUAAGAGCCUUGGCGUGACCCUGGACAACACCCUGUCGUUCUCCGCUAACAUCAAGGCGGUGACCCGAUCCAACAUGCAAUCAUUGGACAAUAAACUAGACGAGGUACGAUCACGAAUAUCCUACCAACGGGACAUCAAAAACUGUAAUAUCCUAUGUUUCACGGAAUCGUGGCUGAAUGAAGAAAUGGAUAAUCAGCUAGCGGGAAACACGCAGCACCGGCAAGAUAGAACAGCACACUCUGGGGCUGAGUCACUGGCCUACUGGUGUUCUUCCAUGCCGUCCAUGGGAGGGGUGUGUCACUUGAGUGGGUUGAGUCACUGACGUGGUCUUCCUGUCUGGGUUGGCGCCCCCCCCCUUGGGUUGUGCCAUGGCGGAGAUCGUUGUGGGCUAUACUCGGGCUUGUCUUAGGACGGUAAGUUGGUGGUUGGAGACAUCCCUCUAGUGGUGUGGGGGCUGUGCUUUGGCAAAGUGGGUGGGGUUAUAUCCUGCCUGUUUGGCCCUGUCCGGGGGUAUCAUCGGAUGGGGCCACAGUGUCUUCUGAUCCCUCCUGUCUCAGCCUCCAGUAUUUAUGCUGCAGUAGUUUAUGUGUCGGGGGGCUAGGGUCAGUCUGUUACAUCUGGAGUAUUUCUCUUGUCUUAUCCGGUGUCCUGUGUGUAUUUAAAUAUGCUCUCUCUAAUUCUCUCUUUCUCUCUUUCUGUCUUUCUCUCGGAGGACCUGAGCCCUAGGACCAUGCCUCAGGACUACCUGGUAUGAUGACUCCUUGCUGUCCCCAGUCCACCUGGCCGUGCUGCUGCUCCAGUUUCAACUGUUCUGCCUGUGGCUAUGGAACCCUGACCUGUUCACCGGACGUGCUUGUUGCACCCUCGACAACUACUAUGAUUAUUAUUAUUAUUUGACCAUGCUGGUCAUUUAUGAACAUUUUAACAUCUUGACCAUGUUCUGUUAUAAUAUCCACCCUGCACAGCCAGAAGAGGACUGGCCACCCCUCAUAGCCUGGUUCCUCUCUAGGUUUCUUCCUAGGUUUUUGGCCUUUCUAGGGAGUUUUUCCUAGGGAGUUUUUCCUAGCCACCGUGCUUCUUUCACAUGCUUUGCUUGCUGUUUGGGGUUUUAGGCUGGGUUUCUGUACAGCACUUUGAGAAUAUCAGCUGAUGUACGAAGGGCUAUAUAAAAAUAAAUUUGAUUUGAUUUGAUUUGAUGUACUGGGCCGUACGCACUACCCUCUGUAGUGCCUUGCGGUCAAAGGCUAAGCAGUUGCCAUAGCAGGCAGUGAU
This 1784-nucleotide long non-coding RNA is filed under the name Salmo salar (Atlantic salmon). Its description in RNAcentral is "lncRNA (ENSSSAG00000100811.1)". The record is from RNAcentral. Lineage: Eukaryota; Metazoa; Chordata; Actinopteri; Salmoniformes; Salmonidae.